RNAcentral lists this ribosomal RNA (699 nucleotides) under Salmonella enterica subsp. enterica serovar Thompson. Its description in RNAcentral is "partial 23S ribosomal RNA". It matches the Rfam family "Bacterial large subunit ribosomal RNA", at positions 2234 to 2925 of the family's 2925-position model. The record is from RNAcentral. RNAcentral also lists the same sequence under 1 other name. Lineage: Bacteria; Pseudomonadati; Pseudomonadota; Gammaproteobacteria; Enterobacterales; Enterobacteriaceae.
CGUAAUCCGGGUUGCGGACAGUGUCUGGUGGGUAGUUUGACUGGGGCGGUCUCCUCCUAAAGAGUAACGGAGGAGCACGAAGGUUGGCUAAUCCUGGUCGGACAUCAGGAGGUUAGUGCAAUGGCAUAAGCCAGCUUGACUGCGAGCGUGACGGCGCGAGCAGGUGCGAAAGCAGGUCAUAGUGAUCCGGUGGUUCUGAAUGGAAGGGCCAUCGCUCAACGGAUAAAAGGUACUCCGGGGAUAACAGGCUGAUACCGCCCAAGAGUUCAUAUCGACGGCGGUGUUUGGCACCUCGAUGUCGGCUCAUCACAUCCUGGGGCUGAAGUAGGUCCCAAGGGUAUGGCUGUUCGCCAUUUAAAGUGGUACGCGAGCUGGGUUUAGAACGUCGUGAGACAGUUCGGUCCCUAUCUGCCGUGGGCGCUGGAGAACUGAGGGGGGCUGCUCCUAGUACGAGAGGACCGGAGUGGACGCAUCACUGGUGUUCGGGUUGUCAUGCCAAUGGCACUGCCCGGUAGCUAAAUGCGGAAGAGAUAAGUGCUGAAAGCAUCUAAGCACGAAACUUGCCCCGAGAUGAGUUCUCCCUGAGACUUAGAGUCUCCUGAAGGAACGUUGAAGACGACGACGUUGAUAGGCCGGGUGUGUAAGCGCAGCGAUGCGUUGAGCUAACCGGUACUAAUGAACCGUGAGGCUUAACCUUAC